Caenorhabditis elegans is the source of this 126-nucleotide non-coding RNA. The record is from Ensembl. NCBI's taxonomy places the organism in Eukaryota, Metazoa, Nematoda, Chromadorea, Rhabditida, Rhabditidae.
CCGUUCUACAUACUUCUUUACAUUCCAUAUCCAUUUAUGAUAUAGUAUGGGCAUGUAAGGAAGUAUGCAGCUCGGUACGGUCACUUUGAAUAUAGCGUAGAUAUAGAGUAGAAUUGAAUCUGGGAA